RNAcentral lists this ribosomal RNA (1335 nucleotides) under Acinetobacter lwoffii. RNAcentral's name for it is "bacterial SSU rRNA". It matches the Rfam family "Bacterial small subunit ribosomal RNA", at positions 56 to 1384 of the family's 1533-position model. Lineage: Bacteria; Pseudomonadati; Pseudomonadota; Gammaproteobacteria; Moraxellales; Moraxellaceae. The record is from RNAcentral.
UGCAGUCGAGCGGGGAAAGGUAGCUUGCUACUUUACCUAGCGGCGGACGGGUGAGUAAUGCUUAGGAAUCUGCCUAUUAGUGGGGGACAACAUCUCGAAAGGGAUGCUAAUACCGCAUACGUCCUACGGGAGAAAGCAGGGGACCUUCGGGCCUUGCGCUAAUAGAUGAGCCUAAGUCGGAUUAGCUAGUUGGUGGGGUAAAGGCCUACCAAGGCGACGAUCUGUAGCGGGUCUGAGAGGAUGAUCCGCCACACUGGGACUGAGACACCGGCCCAGACUCCUACGGGAGGCAGCAGUGGGGAAUAUUGGACAAUGGGGGGAACCCUGAUCCAGCCAUGCCGCGUGUGUGAAGAAGGCCUUUUGGUUGUAAAGCACCUUAAGCGAGGAGGAGGCUACCGAGAUUAAUACUCUUGGAUAGUGGACGUUACUCGCAGAAUAAGCACCGGCUAACUCUGUGCCAGCAGCCGCGGUAAUACAGAGGGUGCAAGCGUUAAUCGGAUUUACUGGGCGUAAAGCGCGCGUAGGUGGCCAAUUAAGUCAAAUGUGAAAUCCCCGAGCUUAACUUGGGAAUUGCAUUCGAUACUGGUUGGCUAGAGUAUGGGAGAGGAUGGUAGAAUUCCAGGUGUAGCGGUGAAAUGCGUAGAGAUCUGGAGGAAUACCGAUGGCGAAGGCAGCCAUCUGGCCUAAUACUGACACUGAGGUGCGAAAGCAUGGGGAGCAAACAGGAUUAGAUACCCUGGUAGUCCAUGCCGUAAACGAUGUCUACUAGCCGUUGGGGCCUUUGAGGCUUUAGUGGCGCAGCUAACGCGAUAAGUAGACCGCCUGGGGAGUACGGUCGCAAGACUAAAACUCAAAUGAAUUGACGGGGGCCCGCACAAGCGGUGGAGCAUGUGGUUUAAUUCGAUGCAACGCGAAGAACCUUACCUGGUCUUGACAUAGUAAGAACUUUCCAGAGAUGGAUUGGUGCCUUCGGGAACUUACAUACAGGUGCUGCAUGGCUGUCGUCAGCUCGUGUCGUGAGAUGUUGGGGUUAAGUCCCGCAACGAGCGCAACCCUUUUCCUUAUUUGCCAGCGGGUUAAGCCGGGAACUUUAAGGAUACUGCCAGUGACAAACUGGAGGAAGGCGGGGACGACGUCAAGUCAUCAUGGCCCUUACGACCAGGGCUACACACGUGCUACAAUGGUCGGUACAAAGGGUUGCUACCUCGCGAGAGGAUGCUAAUCUCAAAAAGCCGAUCGUAGUCCGGAUUGGAGUCUGCAACUCGACUCCAUGAAGUCGGAAUCGCUAGUAAUCGCGGAUCAGAAUGCCGCGGUGAAUACGUUCCCGGGCCUUGU